RNAcentral lists this ribosomal RNA (206 nucleotides) under uncultured bacterium. RNAcentral describes it as "partial 16S ribosomal RNA". It matches the Rfam family "Bacterial small subunit ribosomal RNA", at positions 568 to 774 of the family's 1533-position model. The record is from RNAcentral.
AGCGUAGACGGUGCGGCAAGUCUGAUGUGAAAGGCAUGGGCUCAACCUGUGGACUGCAUUGGAAACUGUCAUACUUGAGUGCCGGAGGGGUAAGCGGAAUUCCUAGUGUAGCGGUGAAAUGCGUAGAUAUUAGGAGGAACACCAGUGGCGAAGGCGGCUUACUGGACGGUAACUGACGUUGAGGCUCGAAAGCGUGGGAGCAAACA